RNAcentral lists this ribosomal RNA (447 nucleotides) under uncultured bacterium. RNAcentral's name for it is "partial 16S ribosomal RNA". It matches the Rfam family "Bacterial small subunit ribosomal RNA", at positions 29 to 523 of the family's 1533-position model. The record is from RNAcentral.
AGUGAACGCUGGCGGCAGGCUUAACACAUGCAAGUCGAACGCCCCGCAAGGGGAGUGGCGCACGGGUGAGUAACGCGUGGGAAUAUGCCCUUCGGUUCGGAAUAACACAGGGAAACUUGUGCUAAUACCGGAUACGAUCUACGGAUGAAAGAUUUAUCGCCGAGGGAGUAGCCCGCGUAGGAUUAGCUAGUUGGUGAGGUAAUGGCUCACCAAGGCGACGAUCCUUAGCUGGUCUGAGAGGAGGCUCAGUCAGACUGGGACGGAGACACGGCCCAGACUCCUACGGGAGGCAGCAGUAGGGAAUUUUCCACAAUGGGCGAAAGCCUGAUGGAGCAACGCCGCGUGCAGGAUGAAUGCCUUCGGGUUGUAAACUGCUUUUAUAUGUGACGAUUAUGACGGUAGCAUAUGAAUAAGGAUCGGCUAACUCCGUGCCAGCAGCCGCCGCCG